CAGCCGCGCGGUAAUACGUAGGUGGCGAGCGUUGCCCGGAAUUAUUGGGCGUAAAGGGAGCGCAGGCGGACAUAUAAGUCCAUCUUAAAAGUGCGGGGCUCAACCCCGUGAGGGGAUGGAAACUGUAUGCCUUGAGUGUAGGAGAGGAAAGCGGAAUUCCCAGUGUAGCGGUGAAAUGCGUAGAUAUUGGGAGGAACACCAGUGGCGAAGGCGGCUUUUUGGCCUGUAACUGACACUGAGGCGCGAAAGCGUGGGGAGCAAACAGGAUUAGAUACCCCUGUAGUCCCUGUCUCUUAUACAC
Molecule: ribosomal RNA, 301 nt
Filed under: uncultured bacterium
Lineage: Bacteria
Description: partial 16S ribosomal RNA
Rfam family: Bacterial small subunit ribosomal RNA
Source: RNAcentral